UCAGUCGACUCCUACGGGGAGGCAUCAGUGGGGAAUAUUGCACAAUGGGGGAAACCCUGAUGCAGCCAUGCCGCGUGUGUGAAGAAGGCCUUCGGGUUGUAAAGCACUUUCAGUAGGGAGGAAGGUAGUGUAGUUAACACCUGCAUUAUUUGACGUUACCUACAGAAGAAGCACCGGCUAACUCCGUGCCAGCAGCCGCGGUAAUACGGAGGGUGCGAGCGUUAAUCGGAAUUACUGGGCGUAAAGCGCAUGCAGGCGGCCUGUUAAGUCAGAUGUGAAAGCCCGGGGCUUAACCUCGGAAUUGCAUUUGAAACUGGCAGGCUAGAGUCUUGUAGAGGGGGGUAGGAAUUUCAGGUGUAGCGGUGAAAUGCGUAGAGAUCUGAAGGAAUACCAGUGGCGAAGGCGGCCCCCUGGACAAAGACUGACGCUCAGAUGCGAAAGCGUGGGGAGCAAACAGGAUUAGAUACCCUGGUAG
RNAcentral lists this ribosomal RNA (475 nucleotides) under uncultured bacterium. RNAcentral's name for it is "bacterial SSU rRNA". It matches the Rfam family "Bacterial small subunit ribosomal RNA", at positions 328 to 793 of the family's 1533-position model. The record is from RNAcentral.